GUGGAAAGAGAGAUGGGCAGAAUCUUGCUAGAACACUGCAGAAAGAGUUGUUCCAGAGGGACCAAAAGAGGCUCUUAGAUCCAGGGAAAAAGGCCCACUCCUUGGCACAUAAGAAUAAUAAUUUCUCUUGGAGUCAUUACCACCAAGGGAAUAACUUUGCCUGGAAUAUGGAUGGUGCGCUCAAACCUGAGCAUGGACAAGGGAGGUCCAGAUUAUAGGCUUCAGGGUGCCGAGACUCUUACAUGGCAGCUGGAGCCCUGGAUCCUACAGAGACACUGCUGGAGGCUGUACGACCUUUUCUAAGCCAACUACAGAAGUCACGCAGCAGCACUUCUACCACAUUCCAUUCAUUAAAGUGACUACAAAGCCCGGCCCAGUUUUAAGAGGACGUAGACUUGACCUCUUAAUCACCUGCCAGACUUUGGCCCUCACAGGGGCUGUGGUCUUCUUCCCUGCCACGAGGCUUGAUUCUUUGGGGCUGGACAGAGGAAUACGGCGAGGAGACGCAGUCCUCAGCUUCCUGGUGGGGCCGCAGCCUUCUCAUGGUGACUGUCUCCUGCUGCCGCCCACAGGCACCUCCUAAAUCUGCAAGCGAUUCUCUGGUGGCCCCUACUCACUUGGCUUGUGGGGAAUGAAGAAAUGGAGGGGUCGGGAGAGCCACCUCUUCUCCCAGAGAGGAAAUGUCACAGCAUCAACCACUGUGGGAGUGAUUCCCACCGAAGUCUGGGGAACAUACACUUUUAAUCACCAAGCUGACUCAGAUAAAACAUGGGAAAAUGUAUGUUUAGAUGACUUAAAGGAACAAAGAAAAGCAUAUAAAAAUGCACUGGACAUCACAAUGGAAGGAUGCCCGUUAAAUGGGCAGAUAAUUUGUGAUUUUAAUGUUCUUAUGCUUGUCUAGCUGCUUGCCUGUUGCUUGUCUAGAUGCUUACUGUUGAAGUCAGAAAAUCUGAUUAUUACAAAUUUCCUCCUGUUGAGGUCACUGCAGUCUGUAUGACACCCAUGAUCUGAAGUGGGGGAUGGGAUGCUUUGGGCAAUGCCUGUGGUUUGCAGAAGCAACUUAGGAACUGUCUGCAAUCUUCUGUUACUGGAAAUGACGAAGUACCACACAGGAAUGAGAUAGCUUGGGUGUUGAGAAGGGGCCCCUACAAGCAGAUGAUGAGCCCCACAAAAAAAGACCACCCCACUCAGGCUUGACCUAUAAUGAGAGUUGGUUUGAUACUUGGUCAGGCACUUCCUGUGCUCGAAGUUCUCACAAGAACAUCUUCCCAAGAGCUUUCGGCAUUGCUCACAGAGAUGACUCUGAAAUGUAACUGCAAGUUACUUGAAAAAUCAUCCCCUAUAACUGAACAGCCAUUUCUCCAGGAAAGCACUUCUUCCCUUUCAGGCCUUGAGAAGAAAUUCCCUUUGUGUCAGCUUUUGGUCAUUGCCAGAUUCCUAAUCAUUUCCCUCUGGACAUUUGAAAGGUAGCUGACUAUGGAAUUUCCCACAGAAUUUGGGGAAGGAAGCCUAUGCCUCACCAUGUUUCAGGGCCUCACCAUUACCCAUGGAAGGGUAAAUUUAAAAAUUGAACAUUCUCAGUGGCAAAAUGGAAAAAGACCUUCCCCCUCCCUUUCUUAGACCAUUCCCAUGAGAAACCUAGUGUUUGUGAACCCUUCCUCUGCUUUGAUGUGUAUGUAAAUAUUUGUAAGUAAGGCAGCCUGCCAGCUUUACAACCCAAGAACGCUGUAAGGGCCUGGGUGCUAUCUCUUUAAAAUAUAAACAUCAAGGGAGAUAGCAUUCCUAUCUCCUAGUCAUAAAGGGAGUUUAGCCUAGGCAUGUUGCUUCAAGCUACAGCCACCUGCUUAUCAUCCAGGGGAUGGCAAUUCAGACAUAGGCAAUUAGCAGGCUAAUUAGC
This is a long non-coding RNA of Nycticebus coucang (slow loris), 1897 nucleotides long. RefSeq lists it as uncharacterized. The transcript has 6 exons. The record is from RefSeq and is a predicted model, not a curated record. Lineage: Eukaryota; Metazoa; Chordata; Mammalia; Primates; Lorisidae.